RNAcentral lists this non-coding RNA (22 nucleotides) under Arabidopsis thaliana (thale cress). Lineage: Eukaryota; Viridiplantae; Streptophyta; Magnoliopsida; Brassicales; Brassicaceae. The record is from RNAcentral. RNAcentral also lists the same sequence under 3 other names.
GCGGGUAAACGGCGGGAGUAAC